This 137-nucleotide ribosomal RNA is filed under the name Cordyceps militaris. Its description in RNAcentral is "partial 5.8S ribosomal RNA". It matches the Rfam family "5.8S ribosomal RNA", at positions 14 to 150 of the family's 154-position model. Rfam says of the family: 5.8S ribosomal RNA (5.8S rRNA) is a component of the large subunit of the eukaryotic ribosome. It is transcribed by RNA polymerase I as part of the 45S precursor that also contains 18S and 28S rRNA. Functionally, it is thought that 5.8S rRNA may be involved in ribosome translocation. Lineage: Eukaryota; Fungi; Ascomycota; Sordariomycetes; Hypocreales; Cordycipitaceae. The record is from RNAcentral.
GGAUCUCUUGGCUCUGGCAUCGAUGAAGAACGCAGCGAAAUGCGAUAAGUAAUGUGAAUUGCAGAAUUCAGUGAAUCAUCGAAUCUUUGAACGCACAUUGCGCCCGCCAGCAUUCUGGCGGGCAUGCCUGUUCGAGC